RNAcentral lists this ribosomal RNA (1530 nucleotides) under Bacillus cereus HuB1-1. Its description in RNAcentral is "bacterial LSU rRNA". It matches the Rfam family "Bacterial large subunit ribosomal RNA", at positions 3 to 1526 of the family's 2925-position model. The record is from RNAcentral. Lineage: Bacteria; Bacillati; Bacillota; Bacilli; Caryophanales; Bacillaceae.
UUAAGUUAGAAAGGGCGCACGGUGGAUGCCUUGACACUAGGAGUCGAUGAAGGACGGGACUAACGCCGAUAUGCUUCGGGGAGCUGUAAGUAAGCUUUGAUCCGAAGAUUUCCGAAUGGGGAAACCCACUAUACGUAAUGGUAUGGUAUUCUUACCUGAAUACAUAGGGUAUGGAAGACAGACCCAGGGAACUGAAACAUCUAAGUACCUGGAGGAAGAGAAAGCAAAUGCGAUUUCCUGAGUAGCGGCGAGCGAAACGGAACAUAGCCCAAACCAAGAGGCUUGCCUCUUGGGGUUGUAGGACAUUCUAUACGGAGUUACAAAGGAACGAGGUAGACGAAGCGACCUGGAAAGGUCCGUCGUAGAGGGUAACAACCCCGUAGUCGAAACUUCGUUCUCUCUUGAAUGUAUCCUGAGUACGGCGGAACACGUGAAAUUCCGUCGGAAUCUGGGAGGACCAUCUCCCAAGGCUAAAUACUCCCUAGUGAUCGAUAGUGAACCAGUACCGUGAGGGAAAGGUGAAAAGCACCCCGGAAGGGGAGUGAAAGAGAUCCUGAAACCGUGUGCCUACAAAUAGUCAGAGCCCGUUAAUGGGUGAUGGCGUGCCUUUUGUAGAAUGAACCGGCGAGUUACGAUCCCGUGCGAGGUUAAGCUGAAGAGGCGGAGCCGCAGCGAAAGCGAGUCUGAAUAGGGCGUUUAGUACGUGGUCGUAGACCCGAAACCAGGUGAUCUACCCAUGUCCAGGGUGAAGUUCAGGUAACACUGAAUGGAGGCCCGAACCCACGCACGUUGAAAAGUGCGGGGAUGAGGUGUGGGUAGCGGAGAAAUUCCAAUCGAACCUGGAGAUAGCUGGUUCUCCCCGAAAUAGCUUUAGGGCUAGCCUUAAGUGUAAGAGUCUUGGAGGUAGAGCACUGAUUGAACUAGGGGUCCUCAUCGGAUUACCGAAUUCAGUCAAACUCCGAAUGCCAAUGACUUAUCCUUAGGAGUCAGACUGCGAGUGAUAAGAUCCGUAGUCAAGAGGGAAACAGCCCAGAUCGCCAGCUAAGGUCCCAAAGUGUGUAUUAAGUGGAAAAGGAUGUGGAGUUGCUUAGACAACUAGGAUGUUGGCUUAGAAGCAGCCACCAUUUAAAGAGUGCGUAAUAGCUCACUAGUCGAGUGACUCUGCGCCGAAAAUGUACCGGGGCUAAAUACACCACCGAAGCUGCGAAUUGAUACCAAUGGUAUCAGUGGUAGGGGAGCGUUCUAAGUGCAGUGAAGUCAGACCGGAAGGACUGGUGGAGCGCUUAGAAGUGAGAAUGCCGGUAUGAGUAGCGAAAGACGGGUGAGAAUCCCGUCCACCGAAUGCCUAAGGUUUCCUGAGGAAGGCUCGUCCGCUCAGGGUUAGUCAGGACCUAAGCCGAGGCCGACAGGCGUAGGCGAUGGACAACAGGUUGAUAUUCCUGUACCACCUCUUUAUCGUUUGAGCAAUGGAGGGACGCAGAAGGAUAGAAGAAGCGUGCGAUUGGUUGUGCACGUCCAAGCAGUUAGGCU